Molecule: ribosomal RNA, 465 nt
Filed under: Vreelandella stevensii
Lineage: Bacteria; Pseudomonadati; Pseudomonadota; Gammaproteobacteria; Oceanospirillales; Halomonadaceae
Description: partial 16S ribosomal RNA
Rfam family: Bacterial small subunit ribosomal RNA
Source: RNAcentral
CCUACGGGGGGCAGCAGUGGGGAAUAUUGGACAAUGGGGGGAACCCUGAUCCAGCCAUGCCGCGUGUGUGAAGAAGGCCCUCGGGUUGUAAAGCACUUUCAGUGAGGAAGAACGCCUGGUGGUUAAUACCCAUCAGGAAAGACAUCACUCACAGAAGAAGCACCGGCUAACUCCGUGCCAGCAGCCGCGGUAAUACGGAGGGUGCGAGCGUUAAUCGGAAUUACUGGGCGUAAAGCGCGCGUAGGUGGCUUGAUAAGCCGGUUGUGAAAGCCCCGGGCUCAACCUGGGGACGGCAUCCGGAACUGUCAAGCUAGAGUGCAGGAGAGGAAGGUAGAAUUCCCGGUGUAGCGGUGAAAUGCGUAGAGAUCGGGAGGAAUACCAGUGGCGAAGGCGGCCUUCUGGACUGACACUGACACUGAGGUGCGAAAGCGUGGGUAGCAAACAGGAUUAGAUACCCUAGUAGUC